GAUAUUAAAGAUUUAUCACUUGAAGAUGGCUGUGCGGCUGAUUAGGUAGUUGGCGGGGUAACGGCCCACCAAGCCUACGAUCAGUAACUGGUGUGAGAGCACGAGCAGGGACACGGGCACUGAGACACGGGCCCGACUCCUACGGGAGGCAGCAGUAAGGAAUAUUGGUCAAUGGACGCAAGUCUGAACCAGCCAUGCCGCGUGGAGGAUGAAGGUCCUCUGGAUUGUAAACUUCUUUUAUCUGGGACGAAAACGGGCUUUUCUAAGUCACCUGACGGUACCAGAUGAAUAAGC
Molecule: ribosomal RNA, 294 nt
Filed under: uncultured Terrimonas sp.
Lineage: Bacteria; Pseudomonadati; Bacteroidota; Chitinophagia; Chitinophagales; Chitinophagaceae
Description: partial 16S ribosomal RNA
Rfam family: Bacterial small subunit ribosomal RNA
Source: RNAcentral